This 484-nucleotide ribosomal RNA is filed under the name uncultured bacterium. Its description in RNAcentral is "partial 16S ribosomal RNA". It matches the Rfam family "Bacterial small subunit ribosomal RNA", at positions 30 to 507 of the family's 1533-position model. The record is from RNAcentral.
AUUGAACGCUGGCGGCAGGCCUAACACAUGCAAGUCGAGCGGAUGAACCGUGCUUGCUUCGGGUUCCAGCGGCGGAAGGGUGUGUGAUGCCUAGGAAUCUGCUUCCCUGUGGGUUAGAACGUCCUCAGACGGCUGCUAAUACCACAUACUUCCUGCGGCUGCAAGUGGGGGAGCGUCGGAACUUAUCCGCUCAGGUGAAUUUAGGUCGGAUUAGCUAGUUGGUGGGUUGAAGGCCUACCUAGCCGACGAUCCGUAGCUGGUCUGAGAGGAUGAUCAGUCACACUGGAAGUGAGACACGGUCCAGACGCCUACGGGAGGCAGCAGUGGGGAAUAUUGGACAAUGGGCGGAAGCCUGAUACAGCCAUGCCGCGUGUGUGAAGAAGGCCUUGGGAUUGUAAAGCACUUUUAGUUGGGAGGAAGGGCAGUAGGUUAAUACCUUGCUGUUGUGACGGUACCAACAGAAGAAGCACCGGCUAACUUCGUG